UGGGGUGUGGCUCAGUGGUAGAGCACAUGCCUAGCUAGCAUGUGUGAGGCACUGGGUUCAAUCCCCAGCACCAUAU
Molecule: non-coding RNA, 76 nt
Organism: Ictidomys tridecemlineatus (thirteen-lined ground squirrel)
Lineage: Eukaryota; Metazoa; Chordata; Mammalia; Rodentia; Sciuridae
Source: Rfam